RNAcentral lists this unclassified non-coding RNA (377 nucleotides) under Mycobacterium sp. 1GVN05. The record is from RNAcentral. Lineage: Bacteria; Bacillati; Actinomycetota; Actinomycetes; Mycobacteriales; Mycobacteriaceae.
UCCUUUCUAAGGAGCACCACGAGACCCAGGCCCGCCCACAUGGUGUGGGAUGUCGGUGAUCUGGGCGAUUCGAUGGAUGGGCCGCGCCUGUAGUGGGUGUGGUUCUGGUGCACAACAAACGUGUCGGUGGUGCGGAAACACUGCCGGCGGGAAAUCAUCGGACACACUAUUGGGCUUUGAGGCAACAGGCCCGCUAUCUCUUCGUCCCGCGUGUGGGAAACCGGAGAUGGGAAUUGCUUGCCUCCCUGGUUUGGUGGGGGGGUGUGGUGUUUGAUUUGGGGAUAGGGGUGUGGUGUUUGAUUUGUGGAUAGUGGUUGCAAGCAUAUCAUGCUGCCAAUUUCCGGGCGGCGUGCGCUCCCCCGACGAGUGCAAUCUCG